This 292-nucleotide ribosomal RNA is filed under the name uncultured Methylotenera sp. RNAcentral describes it as "partial 16S ribosomal RNA". It matches the Rfam family "Bacterial small subunit ribosomal RNA", at positions 505 to 796 of the family's 1533-position model. The record is from RNAcentral. Lineage: Bacteria; Pseudomonadati; Pseudomonadota; Betaproteobacteria; Nitrosomonadales; Methylophilaceae.
GUGUCAGCCGCCGCGGUAAUACGUAGGGUGCGAGCGUUAAUCGGAAUUACUGGGCGUAAAGCGUGCGCAGGCGGUUUUGUAAGUCAGAUGUGAAAUCCCCGAGCUCAACUUGGGAACUGCGUUUGAAACUACAAGACUAGAAUAUGUCAGAGGGGGGUAGAAUUCCACGUGUAGCAGUGAAAUGCGUAGAGAUGUGGAGGAAUACCAAUGGCGAAGGCAGCCCCCUGGGAUAAUAUUGACGCUCAUGCACGAAAGCGUGGGGAGCAAACAGGAUUAGAAACCCCCGUAGUCC